Molecule: ribosomal RNA, 253 nt
Filed under: uncultured bacterium
Lineage: Bacteria
Description: partial 16S ribosomal RNA
Rfam family: Bacterial small subunit ribosomal RNA
Source: RNAcentral
UACGUAGGUGGCGAGCGUUGUCCGGAAUCAUUGGGCGUAAAGCGCGUGUAGGCGGUCCGGUAAGUCCGCUGUGAAAGUCGGGGGCUCAACCCUCGGAUGCCGGUGGAUACUGUCGGGCUCGAGUACGGAAGAGGCGAGUGGAAUUCCUGGUGUAGCGGUGAAAUGCGCAGAUAUCAGGAGGAACACCAAUUGCGAAGGCAGCUCGCUGGGACGUUACUGACGCUGAGACGCGAAAGCGUGGGGAGCAAACAGG